RNAcentral lists this ribosomal RNA (669 nucleotides) under Triticum aestivum (bread wheat). Its description in RNAcentral is "partial small subunit ribosomal RNA". Lineage: Eukaryota; Viridiplantae; Streptophyta; Magnoliopsida; Poales; Poaceae. The record is from RNAcentral.
AUGAUACGAUCAUGUUUGCUGACAGCGAUCCGCGGCCCGAUAGGCAAAUUUCCUAUCAAGUACCUAGGGGUCCCUCUGCAUGUAGAUAAACUAACGAGGGAAGAUAUCCAACCUUUGCUGGAUAAAAUCCUCAAGAGGAUUGUUGGGUGGAGAGGGAAGCUCCUUUCCUAUAAGGGGAGGGUGAUUUUGAUUAAAACCUGCCUGUCCAGCAUUCCUAUUUACCUGCUCUCCUUUUUUAAAUUCCCCAAAUGGGCCUUAGAUCUCAUCAACUCUCAGAUGGCUAAUUGCCUCUGGAAUGACUAUGAAGUACAUAGGAAAAUCCAUUUGGCAAACUGGCAACUAGUGUGCAUGAAGCAGGAGUUUGGGGGUUUGGGAAUCCCAAACCUCCAUGACCUAAAUAUUUGCUUGUUAGGCUCCUGGGUUAAGAGAUAUAUGGCUGGCGAGGGGGAACUUUGAAAAAACCUCAUCGAUUACAAAUACCUUAGCAACGUUCCUAACAUAUUUUGUGGUGACUCUGUUGGGGCCUCACAAUUCUGGAAAGGUGUCGUAUGGGCUGCAAAAGCAGUUAAAAUGGGAUCCAGGUGGGUGGUGGGGAAUGGAGAGCAAAUCAGAUUCUGGGAGGAUUCUGUUGGCCCAGACCCGACACCGAGUACUUUCCGGCGACGGUGA